AUGAUCUUUGAAGUUCCUUCCAACCCAAACCCUUCUGGGAUUCUGUGAAAGUAAAUCCAGAGCCAGGAGCUGGAUGUGAGAGCACUCGGGAGCAAUGUGUGUGUGCUUGUGCUGGUUCCUGGCUGGCAUUUGGCCACCUGGGAGGUGACAGAAAGGGACAUUUAGUUGGGCCUGGUACUGGAAUUUCUGCUCAGACUGUAAAUUGUUCGGUGUGUGUGUGUGGGUAGAGAGAUAGGUCACAGAAUCCCAGAAUGGUUUGGGUUGGAAGAAACCUUAAGGGCCAUCUCUUUCCAACCCUUACCAUGGACAGGGGCACACUCCACUAGAGCAGUUUGCUCAGAGUCUCUUCGGGGUUUGUUUUGUUUUGUAGAAGGGAUGGAUUUCUGGAAUAGGGAGAACACCAGAACUAGGGUUUUGCAGUGCCUGAGCACCAUGAUCAAAGCACAGAGAGUUUUACAAGCCCCAUUCCUUCCCAUGUUCAUGCCUUUUUUAAUUCCAUAUGGAAGAGAAUGGUUUUGGAGAAAAGGCCAGAGACCUGAGGGUAGUGUAAAUCUCUCUGAAUGGAGGCACUAUUCCUCAUUUUAUGGAGACUUUUGUUAAGGGUGAGUGAAGCUCUGUUUUUUCCCUCUAAUCUGCAAGGAUUGGACAUUGAAACAAUACUCUGCUUCAGAAGGACGUUGGUUUAAUUCAUUCAGUUAUUUGCUAUUAUGGGAGGAAGAGCUUGAAAGCAGCUCAUGGGAAUGGAUCUGCGUCCUUUUAUGAGGGUUUUGGGGCUUGCCAUACCUCCCUCAUUCAAAGUAGUCACUUUUCAUGCUGUGUGCAUAGCACACAGCACGUAGAAUAACACUGUAGUUUCAAUUGUACAAAGUAAAUUUAAGGACAGGUUUUUAAAUACUUUUGUUGUAGGUACUUAAUUCUAACUUUAAUGUCUACUUCAAAAAAAUGCUUAUGAGACCUGAAAGUUGAGUAGUGCUUGAGAA
Molecule: non-coding RNA, 980 nt
Organism: Taeniopygia guttata (zebra finch)
Lineage: Eukaryota; Metazoa; Chordata; Aves; Passeriformes; Estrildidae
Source: RefSeq, a predicted model, not a curated record